CUACGGAGGGGGUUAGCGUUGUUCGGAAUUACUGGGCGUAAAGCGCACGUAGGCGGGUUGGAAAGUUGGGGGUGAAAUCCCAGGGCUCAACCCUGGAACUGCCUCCAAAACUAACAGUCUAGAGUUCGAGAGAGGUGAGUGGAAUUCCAAGUGUAGAGGUGAAAUUCGUAGAUAUUUGGAGGAACACCAGUGGCGAAGGCGGCUCACUGGCUCGAUACUGACGCUGAGGUGCGAAAGCGUGGGGAGCAAACAGGAUUAGAAACCCGAGUAGUCC
RNAcentral lists this ribosomal RNA (274 nucleotides) under uncultured bacterium. RNAcentral describes it as "partial 16S ribosomal RNA". It matches the Rfam family "Bacterial small subunit ribosomal RNA", at positions 523 to 796 of the family's 1533-position model. The record is from RNAcentral.